GCUUACGGCAAUACCAGCUUGGGUACGCCCGAUCUCGUCUGAUCUCGGAAGCUAAGCAGGGUCGGGCCUGGUUAGUACUUGGAUGGGAGACCGCCUGGGAAUACCAGGUGCUGUAAGCA
This 119-nucleotide ribosomal RNA is filed under the name Salmo salar (Atlantic salmon). Lineage: Eukaryota; Metazoa; Chordata; Actinopteri; Salmoniformes; Salmonidae. The record is from RNAcentral.